CCUACGGGUGGCAGCAGUGAGGAAUAUUGGUCAAUGGACGAUAGUCUGAACCAGCCAAGUAGCGUGAAGGAUGACUGCCCUAUGGGUUGUAAACUUCUUUUAUAUGGGAAUAAAGUGUUCUAUGUAUACUGUUUUGUAUGUACCAUAUGAAUAAGGAUCGGCUAACUCCGUGCCAGCAGCCGCGGUAAUACGGAGGAUCCGAGCGUUAUCCGGAUUUAUUGGGUUUAAAGGGAGCGUAGGCGGGUUGUUAAGUCAGUUGUGAAAGUUUGCGGCUCAACCGUAAAAUUGCAGUUGAAACUGGCAGUCUUGAGUACAGUAGAGGUAGGCGGAAUUCGUGGUGUAGCGGUGAAAUGCUUAGAUAUCACGAAGAACUCCGAUUGCGAAGGCAGCCUGCUGGACUGUAACUGACACUGAGGCUCGAAAGUGUGGGUAUCAAACAGGAUUAGAUACCCCAGUAGUC
This 460-nucleotide ribosomal RNA is filed under the name uncultured bacterium. RNAcentral's name for it is "partial 16S ribosomal RNA". It matches the Rfam family "Bacterial small subunit ribosomal RNA", at positions 338 to 795 of the family's 1533-position model. The record is from RNAcentral.